CUCGCACCCCGACUUGAACGGAGCUCUUUUGUUUAUAUUGGUUCUCCCUUUAGGGAGUUAGAGGGUAAACAAAAAGCGGGAGUGGAAGGCGGAAACUGGC
RNAcentral lists this unclassified non-coding RNA (100 nucleotides) under Chryseobacterium indoltheticum. RNAcentral's name for it is "Flavo-1 RNA". Lineage: Bacteria; Pseudomonadati; Bacteroidota; Flavobacteriia; Flavobacteriales; Weeksellaceae. The record is from RNAcentral.